GAUGAACGCUGGCGGUGUGCCUAAUACAUGCAAGUCGAGCGAACAGACGAGGAGCUUGCUCCUCUGACGUUAGCGGCGGACGGGAGAGUAACACGUGGAUAACCCAACUACAAGACUGGGAUAACUUCGGGAAACCGGAGCUAAUACAGGAGAAUAUAUUGAACCACAUGGUCCCAUAGUGAAAGACGGAUUUGCUGACACAUAUACAUGGAACCGCGCCGAAUUAUAUAGUUGGUAAGGUAACGUCUUACCAAGGCAACGAUGCGUAGCCGACCUGAGAGGGAGAUCGACCACACUUGAAAUGAGACCCGGUCCAGACGCCUACGGGAGGCAGCAGAAGGGAAUCUGCGGCAAUGGGCUAAAGCCUGACGGAGCAACGGCGCGUGAGUGAUGGAGGUAUUCGGAUCGUAAAACUCUGUUAUUAGGGAAGAACAAAUGUGUAAGUAACUAAGCACGACUUGACGGUACCUAAUCAGAAAGCCACGGCUAACUACGUG
RNAcentral lists this ribosomal RNA (497 nucleotides) under uncultured bacterium. Its description in RNAcentral is "partial 16S ribosomal RNA". It matches the Rfam family "Bacterial small subunit ribosomal RNA", at positions 28 to 507 of the family's 1533-position model. The record is from RNAcentral.